GACGAACGCUGGCGGCGUGCUUAACACAUGCAAGUCGAGCGGUAAGGCCCUUUCGGGGGUACGACGAGCGGCGAACGGGUGAGUAACACGUGGGUGACCUCGCCCUCAGCUCUGGGAUAAGCCUGGGGAAACCGGGUCUAAUACUGGAUAUGACUCCAUGACGCAUGUUGUGGGGUGGAAAGCCUUGUGCGGCUGAGGAUGGGCCCGCGGCCUAUCAGCUUGUUGGUGGGGNGAUGGCCUACCAAGGCGAC
RNAcentral lists this ribosomal RNA (251 nucleotides) under uncultured bacterium. Its description in RNAcentral is "partial 16S ribosomal RNA". It matches the Rfam family "Bacterial small subunit ribosomal RNA", at positions 28 to 277 of the family's 1533-position model. The record is from RNAcentral.